AUUGAACGCUGGCGGAAUGCUUUACACAUGCGAGUCGAGCGGCAGCACGGGGGCAACCCUGGUGGCGAGCGGCGAACGGGUGAGUAAUACAUCGGAACAUGCCCAGUCGUGGGGGAUAACACUUCGAAAGAAGUGCUAAUACCGCAUACGUCCUGAGGGAGAAAGCGGGGGAUCGCAAGACCUCGCGCGAUUGGAGUGGCCGAUGUCAGAUUAGCUAGUUGGUGGGGUAAAGGCCUACCAAGGCAACGAUCUGUAGCUGGUCUGAGAGGAUGAUCAGCCACACUGGGACUGAGACACGGCCCAGACUCCUACGGGAGGCAGCAGUGGGGAAUUUUGGACAAUGGGGGCAACCCUGAUCCAGCCAUUCCGCGUGAGUGAAGAAGGCCUUCGGGUUGUAAAGCUCUUUCGGCAGGAACGAAACGGCGAGCUCUAACAUAGCUUGCUAAUGACGGUACCUGAAGAAGAAGCACCGGCGAACUACGU
RNAcentral lists this ribosomal RNA (483 nucleotides) under uncultured bacterium. RNAcentral describes it as "partial 16S ribosomal RNA". It matches the Rfam family "Bacterial small subunit ribosomal RNA", at positions 30 to 506 of the family's 1533-position model. The record is from RNAcentral.